ACGCUAGCUACAGGCUUAACACAUGCAAGUCGAGGGGCAGCAUGGUCUUAGCUUGCUAAGGCCGAUGGCGACCGGCGCACGGGUGAGUAACACGUAUCCAACCUGCCGUCUACUCUUGGACAGCCUUCUGAAAGGAAGAUUAAUACAAGAUGGCAUCAUGAGUCCGCAUGUUCACAUGAUUAAAGGUAUUCCGGUAGACGAUGGGGAUGCGUUCCAUUAGAUAGUAGGCGGGGUAACGGCCCACCUAGUCUUCGAUGGAUAGGGGUUCUGAGAGGAAGGUCCCCCACAUUGGAACUGAGACACGGUCCAAACUCCUACGGGAGGCAGCAGUGAGGAAUAUUGGUCAAUGGGCGAGAGCCUGAACCAGCCAAGUAGCGUGAAGGAUGACUGCCCUAUGGGUUGUAAACUUCUUUUAUAAAGGAAUAAAGUCGGGUAUGGAUACCCGUUUGCAUGUACUUUAUGAAUAAGGAUCGGCUAACUCCGUGCCAGCAGCCGCGGUAAUACGGAGGAUCCGAGCGUUAUCCGGAUUUAUUGGGUUUAAAGGGAGCGUAGAUGGAUGUUUAAGUCAGUUGUGAAAGUUUGCGGCUCAACCGUAAAAUUGCAGUUGAUACUGGGUAUCUUGAGUGCAGUUGAGGCAGGCGGAAUUCGUGGUGUAGCGGUGAAAUGCUUAGAUAUCACGAAGAACUCCGAUUGCGAAGGCAGCCUGCUAAGCUGCAACUGACAUUGAGGCUCGAAAGUGUGGGUAUCAAACAGGAUUAGAUACCCUGGUAGUCCACACGGUAAACGAUGAAUACUCGCUGUUUGCGAUAUACGGCAAGCGGCCAAGCGAAAGCGUUAAGUAUUCCACCUGGGGAGUACGCCGGCAACGGUGAAACUCAAAGGAAUUGACGGGGGCCCGCACAAGCGGAGGAACAUGUGGUUUAAUUCGAUGAUACGCGAGGAACCUUACCCGGGCUUAAAUUGCAGAUGAAUUACGGUGAAAGCCGUAAGCCGCAAGGCAUCUGUGAAGGUGCUGCAUGGUUGUCGUCAGCUCGUGCCGUGAGGUGUCGGCUUAAGUGCCAUAACGAGCGCAACCCUUGUUGUCAGUUACUAACAGGUUCCGCUGAGGACUCUGACAAGACUGCCAUCGUAAGAUGUGAGGAAGGUGGGGAUGACGUCAAAUCAGCACGGCCCUUACGUCCGGGGCUACACACGUGUUACAAUGGGGGGUACAGAGGGCCGCGACCACGCGAGUGGAUGCCAAUCCCCAAAACCUCUCUCAGUUCGGACUGGAGUCUGCAACCCGACUCCACGAAGCUGGAUUCGCUAGUAAUCGCGCAUCAGCCACGGCGCGGUGAAUACGUUCCCGGGCCUUGUACACACCGCCCGUCAAGCCAUGGGAGCCGGGGGUACCUGAAGUGCGUAACCGCGAGGAGCGCCCUAGGGUAAAACUGGUGACUGGGGCU
Molecule: ribosomal RNA, 1445 nt
Filed under: uncultured organism
Description: SSU rRNA
Rfam family: Bacterial small subunit ribosomal RNA
Source: RNAcentral